Helianthus annuus (common sunflower) is the source of this 1043-nucleotide long non-coding RNA. RefSeq lists it as uncharacterized. The transcript has 6 exons. NCBI's taxonomy places the organism in Eukaryota, Viridiplantae, Streptophyta, Magnoliopsida, Asterales, Asteraceae. The record is from RefSeq and is a predicted model, not a curated record.
GGUGGUACCGUAUCAGUUUCAUAACAAACUGAGCCGAUAUGGGUCGAGUCAUGCAGCGUCACUCGCCGCAACGCGCGGCAAUAAUCCUAGUUCAAAACAAAAACCAUUAUCCAAAAUCCUAAUUUCUCCACCUCCAACACCAAUCUUCUAUACUGCGUAUUCAAACUUUAUCAGAUUUGCAAUCAAUUCAACUGGUUAGGGUUCGAUAAUCAAUAAACAGUCUAUGGUAUGAGAACACAUCUUCCACAACGUUUCCUUUGACUGUCGAGUUUGAAUUAUCUUCAAGAAAGAAGAAGGUUGUACAUAAGUGGCUGCAAAGUACUAUGAAGAGGAUAGCUGUAAACACAAUCCUAUCAAUUGAGGAAGUUAAUCUUUAAUGAUGAAACGGUCAUCCAGUUUCUAAACCCCAAAGUUUUAGCCUCUGUUGGUGCCAACACAUGGUUUGCUAGCGGCUUGCCUCAAACAAAGAAGCUGCAAUUCUCUAGCAGAAAACCCUAAUAUGUGGGAAAAGGAAAUUAAGGAUUGCACAACACUACUUCGUCAUUUACUUCGGUCACCAUCAUUCUUGCAGGAAUUUCAUUUAAACCCUUGGGAAGUGGAUUUAGGAUAUGGACCCAUUUGAACCCUUUGAAAAUUUGAAAUAGCAACAACCACUGGCAGCAUUGAAAGGUAGAAUUUAAAAGGAAGGAUCAAGAGUACUUUUUCUCAGUUGAUAAAGAAAUAUAUAUUAAAUAAUCAUCACCAAGUAACGAUUGAAAUGUAGAACUGUUGCAGAAGUGUUAAGUAAGGUGAGAUUUUGGACGAUGGGGCAUUGAAGAUUGGGAGUUCGACUGUGGAGCUUUUGAAGAGAGUUGGGAAAUAGUUACAGAGGAAAAUUGUUGGUAUUUUUUUCAAGAUUAGGGACACUAGCUUUUUUAGAUUUUAUUGAAUCUAUAAAAUAUUGGGAAAUCUGUUAAAAGGUGAACCAGGAAACUCCAAAUAUUUGUUUUAGUUUACCACCCAGAGGCUACAUAAGAUAAUGAUAUUGAUGUUUCAUGAUUUGA